Molecule: ribosomal RNA, 305 nt
Filed under: uncultured Streptococcus sp.
Lineage: Bacteria; Bacillati; Bacillota; Bacilli; Lactobacillales; Streptococcaceae
Description: bacterial SSU rRNA
Rfam family: Bacterial small subunit ribosomal RNA
Source: RNAcentral
GGUUAAGUCCGCAACGAGACGCAACCCCUACUUGUUAGUUGCCAUCAUUCAGUUGGGCACUCUAGCGAGACUGCCGGUAAUAAACCGGAGGAAGGUGGGGAGUGACGUCAAAUCAUCAUGCCCCUUAUGACCUGGGCUACACACGUGCUACAAUGGUUGGUACAACGAGUUGCGAGUCGGUGACGGCGAGCUAAUCUCUUAAAGCCAAUCUCAGUUCGGAUUGUAGGCUGCAACUCGCCUACAUGAAGUCGGAAUCGCUAGUAAUCGCGGAUCAGCAUGCCGCGGUGAAUACGUUCCCGGGCCUU